UGACCGCGUAUGAAGUACGUUUUCACCUCGGGUGACAGGGAGACAGGUGGUGCAUGGUUGUCGUCAGCUCGUGUCGUGAGAUGUUGGGUUAAGUCCCGCAACGAGCGCAACCCCUACGUUUAGUUGCUAACAGGUGAAGCUGAGCACUCUAGACGAACUGCCGUUGACAAAACGGAGGAAGGUGGGGAUGACGUCAAAUCAUCAUGCCCCUUAUGUUCUGGGCUACACACGUGCUACAAUGGCCGGUACAGACGGAGGCGAAGCCGCGAGGCGGAGCAAAUCCGAAAAAGCCGGUCUCAGUUCGGAUUGCAGGCUGCAAUUCGCCUGCAUGAAGUCGGAAUCGCUAGUAAUCGCAGGUCAGCAUACUGCGGUGAAUACGUUCCCGGGCCUU
RNAcentral lists this ribosomal RNA (391 nucleotides) under uncultured Pelotomaculum sp. Its description in RNAcentral is "bacterial SSU rRNA". It matches the Rfam family "Bacterial small subunit ribosomal RNA", at positions 992 to 1382 of the family's 1533-position model. The record is from RNAcentral. Lineage: Bacteria; Bacillati; Bacillota; Clostridia; Eubacteriales; Desulfotomaculaceae.